AUCUGCUCCCACCCGCUCCGGAGCCAAACCCCGGGGGCCGCCUCCGCUCCCGGACCCGCCUCCUCUCCCGGGAGUGUGAGCCGAACCAAGAGUCUCCUGCCUAUCUCCUCCAGUAGGAAAAUAGUAAUAAUAAUAGACACCCUGCCCCCGUAAAAAACACUACCUUCCCCGUACCGCCUCCCAAGUCUCCCGGGGUACGGAUUGCCUUUGCAGCAGUUCCGCCCCACCUGACUCACUCCAGGGUCAGCCCCGGGUGGGUUUCAAUGCGGCUCUGGGGAGGGGGUGGGCAGUGGGGGAAGUGAGGCUUCCUAUCCGCCCCCUCUCACUUCACAUUUAAAUAUUCUGCACGUUCCAGCCCCCGCGGACUCGCGUACCGCCCAAUCCGCCUUCACCGCACGAAAAACAUCACUAGCCUGCUCUCAGCCCAGGGGACGACUAGUCCCUGGCGAGAAGCUGCCUGCAAGGUCACUGUCAUGCCACCUGCCCCAAGUGCUCAGGGGAAACUGAGGCUUCCUCAUCCCCUUCACCUUCAACGUCGCUCUAAACACGGCAAAGCCCCGUUUCCAUGCUCCCAGAGUUCAGCUGAGGCUGGAAGUGGGGUCCUGGGCUUCUCUGGGAGCAAUUUUCUAGUCACUCUGAUCAAGGACGUUACUUUCCCAGAAAGCUCUGAGGCUGAGUCCCUCUGAAAUCAAGUCCUUUCUCCUGUCGCACAAUGUAGCUACUCGCCCCGCUUCAGGACUCCUAUUCUUUGCCCCAAUCCUUGACAGAGGGGUGAGCUUGGUUCAUCCGCCCACCCCAGAGAAAAGCUUCCCUAGUUUCCUGGACCUCGCUCCUCCACCCCAAGCUGAGCAUUCCAGGUCUUACUCUUGCCUUUCCGAGGGGACAACUUCCCUCGGGCUCC
RNAcentral lists this long non-coding RNA (901 nucleotides) under Homo sapiens (human). RNAcentral describes it as "HSALNT0190030". Lineage: Eukaryota; Metazoa; Chordata; Mammalia; Primates; Hominidae. The record is from RNAcentral.